GAAGUACUCCCUCCGUCCCAAAAUAAGUGUCGUUGGUCUAGUACAAAAUUUGUACUAAUUUAGUGUUAAGUUUGCGACACUUAUUUUGGGACGGAGGGAGUACUAU
Non-coding RNA from Hordeum vulgare subsp. vulgare (domesticated barley), 106 nucleotides. Lineage: Eukaryota; Viridiplantae; Streptophyta; Magnoliopsida; Poales; Poaceae. The record is from Rfam.